RNAcentral lists this unclassified non-coding RNA (399 nucleotides) under soil metagenome. RNAcentral describes it as "partial contains 5.8S ribosomal RNA, internal transcribed spacer 2, and large subunit ribosomal RNA". The stretch from base 1 to 122 matches the Rfam family "5.8S ribosomal RNA", at positions 35 to 154 of the family's 154-position model. The record is from RNAcentral.
GAUGAAGAACGCAGCGAAAUGCGAUACUUGGUGUGAAUUGCAGAAUCCCGUGAACCAUCGAGUCUUUGAACGCAAGUUGCGCCUCAAGCCAUUAGGUUGAGGGCACGUCUGCCUGGGCGUCACAUAUCGUUGCCUGAUGCCAGUUUCCUCGUGAUGGGUGACUGUGCAGGGCGAAUGAUGGCUUCCCGUGAGCAUUGUUGCCUCAUGGUUGGUUGAAAAUUGAGUCCUUGGUAGGGAGCGCCGUGAUAGAUGGUGGUUGAGUGACGAACGAGACCCAAUCAUGUGAGACCCCUACCGAAUUUGGCCUUCAUGACCCACAUGCGUCUUUGGAACGCUCAUGACGAGACCUCAGGUCAGGCGGGGCUACCCGCUGAGUUUAAGCAUAUCAAUAGCGGAGGA